RNAcentral lists this ribosomal RNA (579 nucleotides) under uncultured bacterium. RNAcentral describes it as "partial 16S ribosomal RNA". It matches the Rfam family "Bacterial small subunit ribosomal RNA", at positions 355 to 932 of the family's 1533-position model. The record is from RNAcentral.
UGGGGAAUUUUGGACAAUGGGCGAAAGCCUGAUCCAGCAAUGCCGCGUGUGUGAAGAAGGCCUUCGGGUUGUAAAGCACUUUUGUCCGGAAAGAAAUCCUUGGCUCUAAUACAGUCGGGGGAUGACGGUACCGGAAGAAUAAGCACCGGCUAACUACGUGCCAGCAGCCGCGGUAAUACGUAGGGUGCAAGCGUUAAUCGGAAUUACUGGGCGUAAAGCGUGCGCAGGCGGUUUGCUAAGACCGAUGUGAAAUCCCCGGGCUCAACCUGGGAACUGCAUUGGUGACUGGCAGGCUAGAGUAUGGCAGAGGGGGGUAGAAUUCCACGUGUAGCAGUGAAAUGCGUAGAGAUGUGGAGGAAUACCGAUGGCGAAGGCAGCCCCCUGGGCCAAUACUGACGCUCAUGCACGAAAGCGUGGGGAGCAAAACAGGAUUAGAUACCCUGGUAGUCCACGCCCUAAAACGAUGUCAACUAGUUGUUGGGGAUUCAUUCCUUAGUAACGUAGCUAACGCGUGAAGUUGACCGCCUGGGGAGUACGGUCGCAAGAUUAAAACUCAAUGAAUUGACGGGGUCAUAGCUG